Non-coding RNA from Biomphalaria glabrata, 59 nucleotides. The record is from Rfam. NCBI's taxonomy places the organism in Eukaryota, Metazoa, Mollusca, Gastropoda, Planorbidae.
AUGGCUGAGAGGUAAAGCGCUAGGCUUCCGAACUAGGGGUCCCAGGUUCGAAUCCUGAU